RNAcentral lists this ribosomal RNA (427 nucleotides) under uncultured bacterium. RNAcentral's name for it is "bacterial SSU rRNA". It matches the Rfam family "Bacterial small subunit ribosomal RNA", at positions 8 to 481 of the family's 1533-position model. The record is from RNAcentral.
AGAGUUUGAUCCUGGCUCAGAACGAACGCUGGCGGCAGGCUUAACACAUGCAAGUCGAGCGCACUCUUCGGAGUGAGCGGCAGACGGGUGAGUAACGCGUGGGAAUCUACCCAUCUCUAGGGAAUAACUCAGGGAAACUUGUGCUAAUACCCUAUACGCCCCUCGGGGGAAAGAUUUAUCGGAGAUGGAUGAGCCCGCGUUGGAUUAGCUAGUUGGUGAGGUAAUGGCUCACCAAGGCGACGAUCCAUAGCUGGUCUGAGAGGAUGAUCAGCCACACUGGGACUGAGACACGGCCCAGACUCCUACGGGAGGCAGCAGUGGGGAAUAUUGGACAAUGGGCGCAAGCCUGAUCCAGCCAUGCCGCGUGAGUGAUGAAGGCCCUAGGGUUGUAAAGCUCUUUCAACGGUGAAGAUAAUGACGGUAACCG